Molecule: long non-coding RNA, 2213 nt
Organism: Harpegnathos saltator (Jerdon's jumping ant)
Lineage: Eukaryota; Metazoa; Arthropoda; Insecta; Hymenoptera; Formicidae
Exons: 3
Source: RefSeq, a predicted model, not a curated record
UCCAAAAUUUACAAGAAAGAUUGCGACAUUACUCUGCAGAGAAUGCAAAGGUUGCUUGGAUACAAGCAUGCAAGGGGUGAAAUCUCAGAGAGAAGAGAAAUCAAUCGAGCCGCAGAGCCACAGAGUAUUGAUUUCCUUUUAUCCUCUCUUUUCGUUCUGUCCUCCGCGGCUCUGUUGUAUCGUGUUUGAUUUUGGUAUUUCUCGCACCGCAGAACAACAACAACAACAACAACAGCAACAACUCACCAUGCUCGCGUAUUUCUGUUCUCGGCGAGCGAAAAUACUCGUUGAUAUCGAUCUGCGGUUGACCCAGCUGUUGACCCAGCAAGGGUAACGUUAACAGAGAAUUCGUGCAUUCGUACCUCCGUCAAGCGACGGCGACGGCGACGGCGCCGUCGCCGUCGCAGAGAGGAUCCAAGCUACUCGCGUUACCUGCGGCUGUGAUCGUACGGACCUGUCACGUUUUCCCAUUAUUGUCGACUUUUGCACGAGCGCGGCUUCCAUUCUGGCGGCUGGCAUUCUUGAUGCUGAAAUCGAAACGAUCUCCGGCUGAUCACCGUCCUAUUAACGUUCUUCGAGAGAGCGUGAAGGGGACGCCAACGUGGGUUUAUCCGACAGCUCGACUUUUCCGAAUCGGAACACGGCUUGGGUGGGAUCGGCGCUCACGACUCUACACGAGCUUCUGUGCAACCGUGAGAACGGCAGCAGCAGGAUGCAGCGUACGUGUCGCAUCAGAUGAGACAGUCCGGCCGGACGCCGACGUUGGCGCCUUCCUGCUCGUCCAGAGGUUGAGGUCCAACGACAAUCGCGAGCUAGCAGCAGCGCGAGCAGCUGCAUGUGAGAGAGAGAGGACGCUUACUUGGGAACCAGGUGAGGCAAGAUUCGCGCAAGAGACGGACAAGUCAGAGAUGGGCGCAACACAAAAGAAUAUAAAUCGCGCAAUAGACCGCGCCGAGAGUGCUCGUCUCCGUCACGUUCUCUCUGCGAAUCGGGCGAUUCAACAUGGAGCGCGCACUCGAGCUCUUCUUCUUCGAGUUUUCUCUCGAUAGCCCGUCGUUUGGCCCGUCUCAAGGAAUACCAGCCUCUUGCUCUAUCGAGCUCAUUAAAAGAAUAGCGGACGGUCCCCUCAUUGCGCUGCCAGCCGCGCCAGCCGCGAGGGGGCAGGGAGAAGAAGUUGUGUACCAGCAGCCACCGCGAAGGGUAGGCCAUCGCACGCCACGGACGAAACGAGUCUCUCUGUUUGAUCCGCAAACAUUGUAAUUGCCUGGAAUAUUAUAUUAGGUACGCCGUUGCGGAUGACGACGGAGGUGGUGGAUGCACCGUCGCGCGUCGUCGUGGGCGGCCGGCGGCGACGGGUAUAGUCCCGAUGAGGGCUGUACGAGGGGUGAACAAAGGGAGACGAUGGGAAGGGCGACCGGACCGACGGCACCCCGGAGCAGAAACAAGAGCGAAACCCCGGAACAAUAAUUUAUUUUUGGUCUCCUCGUGGGUGGGUGGGAAACACGCUGGCUGUGGCAGGUAAUCUUCGCGAUGCCUCAGAAACGACUCGACUCGAGAGACGACAAACUCGGGAAAAAGAUGUCGGUCGCCACGAUGUUGAAGAACUGCUGUUGCGAUACGAUGACAAAGUCCAAUGAUUUAGCACGAGUUGAAUCGAACAAUCUGCAGUCUACAGUCAAAGUAGGUGGGUCUGAUUCAACACACGGACAGGGCAGUGCACGUUGCUUCAGUUGAGAUUUCACACCUAAUCGUAAUCGUGCUCGAAAGGAACUGCUAAAGGCGCGGGUCUCUCCCUUGUAUUUCCGGUGUUCCGGUGCCGCCAGUCAAUUAAAAAGAAAAAGAAAAGAAAUAUGAUCAGCACAAGUAUUACGGUGAGCUCAUUGUUGACUCGCGAUUAGUUGUAAUCACUUGCUAUAUAUAUAUUUCAACACGACGCGUGUAUUUCCUCAUUUUCACAUUUCGUCUUAAUCUCCUCGAUAGCUCCUCCCCUUCAUUUUUUCUCCCAUCUAGUGCGCGAAGCUGAACACGCGUGGUUAAUUAAACACCGUGCACUUUAUUUGGCCGCACGUAGGAGAAAGCGGCCAUCGAAAUGAGUCAUUAACUUUAAUCCCAUAGAGACUCGGUUUCCGAGCGUACGUUGCACAAGUAUCGUAAACGGAAGAUACCACGUAUGCGCUGAGACCUAACGUGGAAAAUGAGUAGAUCAUCUGACA